RNAcentral lists this ribosomal RNA (658 nucleotides) under uncultured fungus. RNAcentral describes it as "LSU rRNA". It matches the Rfam family "Eukaryotic large subunit ribosomal RNA", at positions 23 to 664 of the family's 3401-position model. The record is from RNAcentral. Lineage: Eukaryota; Fungi.
ACCCGCUGAACUUAAGCAUAUCAAUAAGCGGAGGAAAAGAAACUAACAAGGAUUCCCCUAGUAACUGCGAGUGAAGCGGGAAAAGCUCAAAUUUAAAAUCUGGCGGUCGUUGGCUGUCCGAGUUGUAAUCUAGAGAAGUGUUACCUGUGCUGGACCGUGUACAAGUCUCCUGGAAUGGAGCAUCAUAGAGGGUGAGAAUCCCGUCUUUGACAUGGACUGCCUGUACAUGAUGGUGCGCUCUCGAAGAGUCGAGUUGUUUGGGAAUGCAGCUCAAAAUGGGUGGUAAAUGCCAUCUAAAGCUAAAUAUUGGCGAGAGACCGAUAGCGAACAAGUACCGUGAGGGAAAGAUGAAAAGAACUUUGGAAAGAGAGUUAAACAGUACGUGAAAUUGCUGAAAGGGAAACGCUUGAAGUCAGUCGCGUUGGCUAGAAAUCAGCCUUGCUCUUGCUCGGUGUACUUUCUUGUCGACGGGUCAGCAUCAGUUUUGACCAUUGGAGAAGGACAUUGGGAAUGUGGCAUCCUUGGAUGUGUUAUAGCCCGGUGUCGCAUACGAUGGUUGGGAUUGAGGAACUCAGCACGCCGCAAGGCCGGGUCUCUGACCACGUUCGUGCUUAGGAUGCUGGCAUAAUGGCUUUAAUCGACCCGUCUUGAAACACGG